AACACCUCAGUUUUGCUCUGAUAGUUCGUGUCAAUGUUGGUGGGUUUUGAGUUUUUUUUUACGGUUAAAAAGCAGCUAUAGUAGGUUGCAUUUUUGUGAAGACUACACAGUUGUUUAGGCAGUCAAGACUACAAAAAAAAUGCCUAAUUUAAAUUUAAAGUAUCAUACAUUUAUAUAAUAAUACCUCAAAAAUUCUUUAUUGUUGUAUUUGUUUCAAUGCAAUAAUGUUUUGCUAUAGAUAUUAAAUUGACUAUCUCCUUAUACUAGUACUUCUUAUUAUAGUUGUCAUUGUUUUUUAUAACAUAAGAUUGUGUUCUAAGAAUACUGAUAUUGGGGUUUCUAAAGUCCCUUUGCCUCACAAAGUUGUCAUAUUGAUUAUGGUGCAAACAAAAAGUUGAAGUUAAUAUUUUGAAUGAUGUUUACAGGUAGCUUAAGUAUGAGCAGAAAGUGGUAAAGGAUAAUCCUCAUCCAAAGUUAUCGCAAGUAUGAGCAGAAAGUGGUAAACCUCAUCCAAGGUGAUCUAUCAAUCUAUUUUUCUAAAGUAUUGUGUGAAUUUUUAUAAAAAAGUUUCAUAUAUUUCUGAUACACUGAAAGAUAAGUAUGCUUAUUAAAGGCCAUCAUUUUCAUUUGUUGGACCUAGACAUUCCUUACGUUUAGGGACCCUUUGUAUCAUUGUUUUGAUGCAUUAUUUAUUCUCUCCAACCCAUGCCCACCCCCUAACCCUCCUCUUUCAUCUAAAUGUGGUAAUGUAUUUCUUCCCUCCCUUUCUUAAACAUAUUAGACUAGUUAUAUCAUCUUAUUAAAUCUUCUUUAACAAGUAUUUUAAGAAGUUUUUAAUUGUAAAAGUUAUAAGUUUAAAAUCUUCUUUAACAAGUAUUUUAAGAAGUUUUUAAUUGUAGAAGUUAUAAGUUUAAGCUUUAACUUUUAUAUAUUCUUGGUAAGGUUAGAUUGUUUGCAAGUAUUUACUAUUAAUAAAAAAAAACAUUUUAAUCCUAAAAAAGUCUUACAAAAAACUUUCAUUAAAGAUAGUGUAAAUUUAUAUUAUAAGUCAAAUUAAUUAAUCACGUUACAUGUUGAUUAUGUCGAACUUGGUCUUUUAUCUGAUAGUGUUUACUUUAUAUGGAACCUUGAAGGUUAUUAUUGGAGAAAGCAGGUAACAAGUCCAAGUACAACUAUCCAACCAACAACAAGCAUCGAUAUCAAGACAUUGAUUAUGUACAUUAUUAGGAGUUUUAAGUUUUUUAUUUUGGAUUAUGUUUUGAAUUAGGAUUAUAAGUUGACUUACUUUUUUAUUUAUAUUAUCUUUGACUUAUUUUAUAUGAUGAGACUACAUAAGUGGAUUUGAAAUUAAUUGUAUUUUAUUUUAUGUUAGAUGUAUUGGAAGAUGAUUAAUUGUUGUAUUGAAUAUUAUAGGUUCAAUACAAUUGGUAAUAGAUGGUUUAAUUUGGAAAAUUUUGAUAUGUUGGAUGUUUUGGAUAGUUGAAUGUUUCAUUAUGCAGGAGUAAACGAUUUAAAAAAACAA
Molecule: long non-coding RNA, 1522 nt
Filed under: Phaseolus vulgaris (common bean)
Lineage: Eukaryota; Viridiplantae; Streptophyta; Magnoliopsida; Fabales; Fabaceae
Description: long non-coding RNA (PVUL_LNC005194)
Source: RNAcentral